GCACCGGCUAACUCCGUGCCAGCAGCCGCGGUAUACGGAGGGUGCGAGCGUUAAUCGGAAUUACUGGGCGUAAAGCGCAUGCAGGCGGCCUGUUAAGUCAGAUGUGAAAGACCCGGGGCGUUAACCUCGGAAUUGCAUUUGUAAACUAGGCAGGCUAGAGUCUUGUAGAGGGGGGUAGGAAUUUCUAGGUGUAGCGGUGAAAUAGCGUAGAGAUCUGAAGGAAUACCAGUGGCGAAGGCGGCCCCCUCGGACAAAGACUGACGCUCGGAUGCGAAAGCGUGGGGAGCAAACAGGAUUAGAUACCCUGGUAG
Molecule: ribosomal RNA, 311 nt
Filed under: uncultured bacterium
Lineage: Bacteria
Description: bacterial SSU rRNA
Rfam family: Bacterial small subunit ribosomal RNA
Source: RNAcentral